GAAGUNNAAGUCGUAACAAGGUUUCCGUAGGUGAACCUGCGGAAGGAUCAUUACCGAGUGAGGGCCCUCUGGGUCCAACCUCCCACCCGUGUUUUCCGAACCCUGUUGCUUCGGCGGGCCCGCCUCACGGCCGCCGGGGGGCUUCCGCCCCCGGGCCCGCGCCCGCCGAAGACACCUGUGAACGCUGUCUGAAGUUGCAGUCUGAGAAACUAGCUAAAUUAGUUAAAACUUUCAACAACGGAUCUCUUGGUUCCGGCAUCGAUGAAGAACGCAGCGAAAUGCGAUAACUAAUGUGAAUUGCAGAAUUCAGUGAAUCAUCGAGUCUUUGAACGCACAUUGCGCCCUCUGGUAUUCCGGAGGGCAUGCCUGUCCGAGCGUCAUUGCUGCCCUCAAGCACGGCUUGUGUGUUGGGCCCCCGCCCCCCCCCGCGCUGGGGGGGCGGGCCCGAAAGGCAGCGGCGGCACCGCGUCCGGUCCUCGAGCGUAUGGGGCUUCGUCACCCGCUCUUGUAGGCCCGGCCGGCGCCAGCCGACCCCCCUCAAUCNANUUUUUCAGGUUGACCUCGGAUCAGGUAGGGAUACCCGCUGAACUUAAGCAUAUCAAUAAGCGGAGGAA
This 614-nucleotide unclassified non-coding RNA is filed under the name Penicillium copticola. Its description in RNAcentral is "sequence contains ITS1, 5.8S rRNA gene and ITS2". The stretch from base 227 to 380 matches the Rfam family "5.8S ribosomal RNA". The record is from RNAcentral. Lineage: Eukaryota; Fungi; Ascomycota; Eurotiomycetes; Eurotiales; Aspergillaceae.